RNAcentral lists this ribosomal RNA (492 nucleotides) under uncultured bacterium. RNAcentral's name for it is "partial 16S ribosomal RNA". It matches the Rfam family "Bacterial small subunit ribosomal RNA", at positions 29 to 507 of the family's 1533-position model. The record is from RNAcentral.
AGUGAACGCUGGCGGUAGGCCUAACACAUGCAAGUCGAACGGCAGCACAGUAAGAGCUUGCUCUUACGGGUGGCGAGUGGCGGACGGGUGAGGAAUACAUCGGAAUCUACUUUUUCGUGGGGGAUAACGUAGGGAAACUUACGCUAAUACCGCAUACGACCUACGGGUGAAAGCAGGGGAUCUUCGGACCUUGCGCGAUUGAAUGAGCCGAUGUCGGAUUAGCUAGUUGGCGGGGUAAAGGCCCACCAAGGCGACGAUCCGUAGCGGGUCUGAGAGGAUGAUCAGCCACACUGGAACUGAGACACGGUCCAGACUCCGACGGGAGGCAGCAGUGGGGAAUAUUAGACAAUGGGCGCAAGCCUGAUCCAGCCAUACCGCGUGGGUGAAGAAGGCCUUCGGGUUGUAAAGCCCUUUUGUUGGGAAAGAAAAGCAGCAGGUUAAUACCCCGCUGUUCUGACGGUACCCAAAGAAUAAGCACCGGCUAACUUCGUG